This 384-nucleotide long non-coding RNA is filed under the name Homo sapiens (human). Its description in RNAcentral is "HSALNT0231702". The record is from RNAcentral. Lineage: Eukaryota; Metazoa; Chordata; Mammalia; Primates; Hominidae.
CCUGACUGCUUGUUCGUCUCACUGGUGUGAGCUCCAGCAUCCCCUUUGCUCGAAAUGGACCCCAACUGCUCUUGCGCCACUGGUGGCUCCUGCACGUGCGCCGGCUCCUGCAAGUGCAAAGAGUGCAAAUGCACCUCCUGCAAGAAGAGCUGCUGCUCCUGCUGCCCCGUGGGCUGUGCCAAGUGUGCCCACGGCUGUGUCUGCAAAGGGACGUUGGAGAACUGCAGCUGCUGUGCCUGAUGUGGGAACAGCUCUUCUCCCAGAUGUUAAUAGAACAAGCUGCACAACCUGGAUUUUUUUUCAAUACGAUACUGAGCCAUUUGCUGCAUUUCUUUUUAUAUUAAAUAUGUGAGUGACAAUAAAACAAUUUUGACUUGAAUCUUA